UGCCGUCACAAAUGCUGAAAUUUGUCGUUCUUAUAUCUGUUGCAGCUAUGCUUUCCCUGUUGCUCUGCAUCUGAGAGAGUUAUUUAUUGCAUUGCAAAGUUUGUGUUUGCUGUCUGUACUUCUAUUCUCAAGCCAUCGGGAAGGAUUUUCAAUAAGGUACUUGAAUGUACUUGGAGGAAAUGAGUGAAGAGAUGUGAUCCAUCUUCUUUUACAGAAACAUAAGUGAGAGGAUUUGAUUGGGUCCACAGAGAGAUCAAAUAUGAAAAAGGCAAUAAAGGGAGAACAAUUGGCUGAAGCUGAAUGAGU
RNAcentral lists this long non-coding RNA (306 nucleotides) under Phasianus colchicus (ring-necked pheasant). RNAcentral's name for it is "lncRNA (ENSPCLG00000001187.1)". The record is from RNAcentral. Lineage: Eukaryota; Metazoa; Chordata; Aves; Galliformes; Phasianidae.